Brassica napus (rape) is the source of this 125-nucleotide non-coding RNA. NCBI's taxonomy places the organism in Eukaryota, Viridiplantae, Streptophyta, Magnoliopsida, Brassicales, Brassicaceae. The record is from Rfam.
GGAAUAUAAGAACCCGUUUCUUAACUUUUAACUAAAAAAAUUAAGAACGUGUUCAUAAAACUCUUAUUUAAAAGCUGGUUCUUAGCUUUUUUAGUUAAAAGUUAAGAGACAGGUUCUCAUAUUCC